Molecule: transfer RNA, 65 nt
Filed under: Fundulopanchax amieti
Lineage: Eukaryota; Metazoa; Chordata; Actinopteri; Cyprinodontiformes; Nothobranchiidae
Description: tRNA-Cys
Source: RNAcentral
AGCCUUGAGGUGUCAACACGUAUGAUUGCAAAUCAUAAAUAGCAGAUUGGUUCCUGCCUGGGCUU